AGACAGCACAGGUGAGAUGGCACAGAGAUGCCACAGGUGAGAUGGCACAGAGACCCCACAGGCCAACACCACAGGUGAGAUGGCACAGAGACCCCACAGGUGAGAUGGCACAGAGAUGCCACAGGCCAACACCACAGGUGAGAUGGCACAGAGACAGCACAGGUGAGAUGGCACAGAGACAGCACAGGUGAGAUGGCACAGAGACGGCACAGGUGAGAUGGCACAGAGACAGCACAGGUGAGAUGGCACAGAGAUGCCACAGGUGAGAUGGCACAGAGACACCACAGGCCAACACCACAGGUGAGAUGGCACAGAGACAGCACAGGUGAGAUGGCACAGAGACAGCACAGGUGAGGUGACAGACACACCACAGGCCAACACCACAGGUGAGAUGGCACAGAGACAGCACAGGUGAGAUGGCACAGAGACAGCACAGGUGAGAUGGCACAGAGACAGCACAGGUGAGAUGGCACAGAGACAGCACAGGUGAGGUGGCACAGACACACCACAGGCCAACACCACAGGUGAGAUGGCACAGAGACAGCACAGGUGAGGUGGCACAGAGACAGCACAGGUGAGGUGGCACAGAGACAGCACAGGUGAGAUGGCACAGAGACAGCACAGGUGAGGUGGCACUGGUGAGAUGGCACAGAGACACCACAGGUGAGAUGGCACAGAGACAGCACAGGUGAGGUGGCACAGAGAUGCUACAGGUGAGAUGGCACAGAGACGCCACAGGCCAACAGCACAGGUGAGGUGGCACAGAGACAGCACAGGUGAGGUGGCACAGAGACAGCACAGGUGAGGUUGCACAGGUGAGAUUUCACAGAGACUGCACAGGUGAGGUGGCACAGAGACCGCACAGGUGAGGUUGCACAGGUGAGAUGGCACAGAGACAGCACAGGUGAGGUGGCACAGAGACCGCACAGGUGAGAUGGCACAGAGACAGCACAGGUGAGGUUGCACAGGUGAGAUGGCACAGAGACACCACAGGUGAGGUGGCAGAGAGACAGCACAGGUGAGGUGGCACAGAGACGCCACAGGUGAGGUGGCACAGAGACGCCACAGGUGAGGUGGCACAGAGACGCCACAGGUGAGGUGGCAGAGAGACAGCACAGGUGAGAUGGCACAGAAACAGCACAGGUGAGGUUGCACAGGUGAGAUGGCACAGAGACAGCACAGGUGAGAUGGCACAGAGACGCCACAGGUGAGGUGGCAGAGAGACAGCACAGGUGAGGUGUCAGAGAGACACCACAGGUGAGGGGGGGGGGGACAGAAGUGAAGUGGAAAGACAGGAUGAGAGAUUUAUAGAU
Alosa sapidissima (American shad) is the source of this 1313-nucleotide long non-coding RNA. RefSeq lists it as uncharacterized. Lineage: Eukaryota; Metazoa; Chordata; Actinopteri; Clupeiformes; Clupeidae. The transcript is spliced from 3 exons. The record is from RefSeq and is a predicted model, not a curated record.